GGGGUUGUGGAUCAAUGGUAGAGCACUUGCCUAGCAAGUGUGAGGCACUGGGUUCAAUCCUCAGCACCAUCA
RNAcentral lists this transfer RNA (72 nucleotides) under Ictidomys tridecemlineatus (thirteen-lined ground squirrel). RNAcentral's name for it is "Spermophilus tridecemlineatus (thirteen-lined ground squirrel) tRNA". It matches the Rfam family "tRNA". Rfam says of the family: Transfer RNA (tRNA) molecules are approximately 80 nucleotides in length. Their secondary structure includes four short double-helical elements and three loops (D, anti-codon, and T loops). Lineage: Eukaryota; Metazoa; Chordata; Mammalia; Rodentia; Sciuridae. The record is from Rfam by way of RNAcentral.